AUGAAAGUGUUCCUUGUGUGCAUACGAAUGUCUGCCUCCUUUGAGGGAUUUCUCUCUGACUGUCAGAUGAAAUGGGAACAAAUCAAUCAUCUGUCACCUGUCGUGUUCGAUACAGCAAGCUUUAUCUCUUACAGAUUCAGUUUAAAAUGCUUGUUCCUGAUACAUGACGAGCAUCUGCAUUUGGCCAAACUGACAUCCAGAAACAGAAUCAAUGGAAGAGCUGGAGGUGCUGUACUUGAUGAAUGUGAUCAGGGCUACUGUUUUCAUCCCAACACAUGCUUCUGCAAUGCUUUUCAGAGUGGGUCCUGCCUUCCCUUCUGUCUGGAAAUAACCAACACUCUGUGCUACAGGUUACACCAAUUUCACUUAGACUACAAGACGAAGAUUUCCUGAAAAUUGAGAUCUUCAGUCCUUGUUUGCUGGAGAUGGCCAUGUAAAGUGCAUACUUACAGCUGACAUAAUACGUAAGUCUUUAUACUUUCUCACAUUUCUCACAUAAUGGGGUGGGGACUGUGCAUAUUUUUACUUCUAAUACAGACUAGUACAAUGCGAGUGAGCAGUUCAUGUAUUUAUGAGUAAGAGAAAAAUCCACUAAUACGAUAGCCAUUUGCAAAACAUAUGAAGUUAGUGUUUAAAACUUUCAGUGCAGCAUUCCA
RNAcentral lists this long non-coding RNA (656 nucleotides) under Meleagris gallopavo (turkey). RNAcentral's name for it is "lncRNA (ENSMGAG00000022107.1)". Lineage: Eukaryota; Metazoa; Chordata; Aves; Galliformes; Phasianidae. The record is from RNAcentral.